UCUUUUAAAUAAAGGCUUGAAUGAAAGGUUGGACAAAGUAUCAUCUGUUUCUUAAAUAUUUAUUGAAUUUGACUUUUAAGUGAAAAGGCUUAAAUAAUCCAAAAAGACGAUAAGACCCUAUAAAUCUUUACAAUAAAUAUAUUUUAUAUUUAAGUUUAUAAGUAUAUAAAACAUAAAAAUAUAAAUUUGUUUCGCUGGGGCGGCGUAGAUAUAUUAAUAAACUGUCUAUAUUUUAAAUACAAUAAUCAUUGCUUAAUACAGAUUGAUCCUUAAAUAGAUUAAAAGAUUAAGAUACUUUAGGGAUAACAGCGUUAUUUUUUUUGAGAGUUCUUAUCGAAGAAAAAGUUUGCGACCUC
This 356-nucleotide ribosomal RNA is filed under the name Hapalogaster grebnitzkii. RNAcentral describes it as "partial 16S ribosomal RNA". It matches the Rfam family "Bacterial large subunit ribosomal RNA", at positions 1972 to 2527 of the family's 2925-position model. Lineage: Eukaryota; Metazoa; Arthropoda; Malacostraca; Decapoda; Lithodidae. The record is from RNAcentral.